Molecule: transfer RNA, 72 nt
Filed under: Heterocephalus glaber (naked mole-rat)
Lineage: Eukaryota; Metazoa; Chordata; Mammalia; Rodentia; Bathyergidae
Rfam family: tRNA
About the family: Transfer RNA (tRNA) molecules are approximately 80 nucleotides in length. Their secondary structure includes four short double-helical elements and three loops (D, anti-codon, and T loops). Further hydrogen bonds mediate the characteristic L-shaped molecular structure. tRNAs have two regions of fundamental functional importance: the anti-codon, which is responsible for specific mRNA codon recognition, and the 3' end, to which the tRNAs corresponding amino acid is attached (by aminoacyl-tRNA synthetases). tRNAs cope with the degeneracy of the genetic code in two manners: having more than one tRNA (with a specific anti-codon) for a particular amino acid; and 'wobble' base-pairing, i.e. permitting non-standard base-pairing at the 3rd anti-codon position.
Source: Rfam by way of RNAcentral
GGAAGUGGAGCUCAGUGGUAGAGCUCUUUCUUAGCAAACACAAGGCCCUGGGUUAGAUCCCCAGCACCCCCA